RNAcentral lists this ribosomal RNA (243 nucleotides) under uncultured bacterium. RNAcentral describes it as "partial 16S ribosomal RNA". It matches the Rfam family "Bacterial small subunit ribosomal RNA", at positions 796 to 1041 of the family's 1533-position model. The record is from RNAcentral.
CACGCCGUAAACGAUGAAUACUAGGUGUCGGGCGUCAAAACUCGGUGCCGCAGCUAACGCAUUAAGUAUUCCGCCUGGGGAGUACGCACGCAAGUGUGAAACUCAAAGGAAUUGACGGGGACCCGCACAAGCAGCGGAGCAUGUGGUUUAAUUCGAAGCAACGCGAAGAACCUUACCAGGUCUUGACAUCCUCUUGCAAGCGUCCUAGCCGACGCCCUCCUUCGGGACAAGAGAGACAGGUGG